Molecule: ribosomal RNA, 433 nt
Filed under: uncultured bacterium
Lineage: Bacteria
Description: partial 16S ribosomal RNA
Rfam family: Bacterial small subunit ribosomal RNA
Source: RNAcentral
GAACGAACGCUGGCGGCAUGCCUAACACAUGCAAGUCGAACGAGACCUUCGGGUCUAGUGGCGCACGGGUGCGUAACGCGUGGGAACCUGCCCUUAGGUUCGGAAUAACUCCCCGAAAGGGGUGCUAAUACCGGAUAAUGUCUUCGGACCAAAGAUUUAUCGCCUUUGGAUGGGCCCGCGUUGGAUUAGCUAGUUGGUAGGGUAAAAGCCUACCAAGGCGACGAUCCAUAGCUGGUCUGAGAGGAUGAUCAGCCACACUGGGACUGAGACACGGCCCAGACUCCUACGGGAGGCAGCAGUGGGGAAUAUUGGACAAUGGGCAAAAGCCUGAUCCAGCAAUGCCGCGUGAGUGAUGAAGGCCUUAGGGUUGUAAAGCUCUUUUACCCGGGAUGAUAAUGACAGUACCGGGAGAAUAAGCUCCGGCUAACUCCGU